GGAGGAAAGUAGGGGAUCGCAAGACCUUACGCUUUUGGAGCGGCCGAUGUCUGAUUAGCUUGUUGGUGAGGUAAAGGCUUACCAAGGCUUCGAUCAGUAGCUGGUCUGAGAGGACGACCAGCCACACUGGGACUGAGACACGGCCCAGACUCCUACGGGAGGCAGCAGUGGGGAAUUUUGGACAAUGGGGGAAACCCUGAUCCAGCCAUGCCGCGUGAGUGAAGAAGGCCUUCGGGUUGUAAAGCUCUUUCAGCCGGAACGAAACGGUUACGAUUAAUACCUGUAACUACUGACGGUACCGGAAGAAGAAGCACCGGCUAACUACGUGCCAGCAGCCGCGGUAAUACGUAGGGUGCAAGCGUUAAUCGGAAUUACUGGGCGUAAAGCGUGCGUAGGUGGUUUUGUAAGUCAGAUGUGAAAUCCCCGGGCUUAACCUGGGAACUGCGUUUGAAACUACAAAGCUAGA
Molecule: ribosomal RNA, 466 nt
Filed under: uncultured ammonia-oxidizing beta proteobacterium
Lineage: Bacteria; Pseudomonadati; Pseudomonadota; Betaproteobacteria
Description: bacterial SSU rRNA
Rfam family: Bacterial small subunit ribosomal RNA
Source: RNAcentral